UACAGAGGUCUCAAGCGUUGUUCGGAUUCAUUGGGCGUAAAGGGUGCGUAGGCGGCGUGGUAAGUCCCGUGUGAAAUCCCUCGGCUCAACUGAGGAAUGGCACGGGAAACUGACGGGCUUGAGUUCGGGCGAGGGAAGCGGAAUUCCGGGUGUAGCGGUGAAAUGCGUAGAUAUCCGGAGGAACACCGGUGGCGAAGGCGGCUUCCUGGACCGACACUGACGCUGAGGCGCGAAAGCUAGGGGAGCAAACGGG
Molecule: ribosomal RNA, 253 nt
Filed under: uncultured bacterium
Lineage: Bacteria
Description: partial 16S ribosomal RNA
Rfam family: Bacterial small subunit ribosomal RNA
Source: RNAcentral